RNAcentral lists this ribosomal RNA (209 nucleotides) under uncultured bacterium. RNAcentral describes it as "partial 16S ribosomal RNA". It matches the Rfam family "Bacterial small subunit ribosomal RNA", at positions 524 to 732 of the family's 1533-position model. The record is from RNAcentral.
UACGUAGGGUCCGAGCGUUGUCCGGAAUUACUGGGCGUAAAGAGCUCGUAGGUGGUUUGUCGCGUUGUUCGUGAAAACUCACAGCUUAACUGUGGGCGUGCGGGCGAUACGGGCAGACUUGAGUACUGCAGGGGAGACUGGAAUUCCUGGUGUAGCGGUGGAAUGCGCAGAUAUCAGGAGGAACACCGGUGGCGAAGGCGGGUCUCUGG